RNAcentral lists this transfer-messenger RNA (368 nucleotides) under Burkholderiales. Its description in RNAcentral is "SZAS-79 sp016713125 Standard tmRNA". It matches the Rfam family "transfer-messenger RNA". Rfam says of the family: Bacterial tmRNA, also known as 10Sa RNA or SsrA, is named for its dual tRNA and mRNA-like properties. Its role is to liberate the mRNA from a stalled ribosome. Lineage: Bacteria; Pseudomonadati; Pseudomonadota; Betaproteobacteria. The record is from RNAcentral. RNAcentral also lists the same sequence under 1 other name.
GGGGGCGACCUGGUUUCGACGCGGGUACCGAAGCAGUACAGUGCAUGCCGAGGACCAGAGCCCUCGUUAAUCCAUCUGGAAACGCACUAGACGCCAACGACGAGCGUUUCGCUCUCGCCGCCUAAUACCGGCGAGACGCAGCACUGACCUGCUGAUGGGUCAGGCCGGCUAAAACCGGUGCUGCGCCAUUCACAUCAGCCUCUCUGCAUGGCUUGGUCGCUUAGCCAUGCGGAUCCGUCGAAGCGACUGGCCAAGCACCAGCCUGCCGAUCGGCGGGAGCGAGGCGAGACCCAAAUGAUCAGGCUAAGCAUGUAGGACUGUCUGUGGACGGCUUGCGGACGGGGGUUCGAUUCCCCCCGCCUCCACCA